GCUUCAAUUUUUGGGAUUGUGAGAGUAGUGGAGUUCGUUGCACACUGGAGUUCGUUCCUCUUCUUUCUUCAUCACAUCUCUCACCUCAACCAAACAAAAAUAUCAAAAAAUCAAAAUCAAAGAAACCCUAGAAAUUGGGGAUUUAGGAAGUGGAUCGGAGACUGCAUCUGAUAGAUCACCAUUGUGAUCUGCAUCUUCAUCAAAUAUCUGCACCUUCAUCAUUAAUUCAACAGAUUGGCUGAUUGGGUAUUUUCAAGCGGCCACAACCCUCAAAAGCUCUUACCUUUUCUCUUGCUUUGCGCCUCCUAACUCUCCCAAUCAUGGCGGACGUUGAGACCGAUGUGGCGGCGGCCGGAGUCCCGAAGAAAAGAACAUUCAAGAAGUUCAGCUUCAGAGGCGUUGAUCUGGAUGCUCUGCUCGACAUGUCAACUGACGAACUCGUCAAGCUCUUCCCUGCUCGAGCUCGCAGAAGGUUCCAAAGGGGUCUGAAGCGCAAGCCCAUGGCUUUGAUCAAGAAGCUUGGCAAAGUGAAACGGGAGGCCCCACCUGGUGAGAAGCCGGAGCCAGUUCGUACCCAUCUGCGUGAUAUGAUUAUAGUACCAGAGAUGAUUGGAAGCAUUAUUGGUGUUUACAAUGGGAAGACCUUCAAUCAGGUUGAAAUCAAGCCUGAGAUGAUUAGUCACUACCUUGCUGAGUUCUCAAUUUCAUACAAGCCUGUGAAGCACGGUAGACCUGGUAUCGGUGCCACCUCACUCUUCAAGGUUCAUUCCUGUUAAGUGAGAUCUGUGCCAGCAGUCUAGAUAUCUGGGUUGUUUUAUUGUCUUAUUUUCAUAGGACUGGGUGGUGAUGAGAUUUUUGUUCUGUUCUCUCAAUUUUCUUUUAUGUUGUGACUUUUGAUGCUGGUUACUAUAUAUGAAGUUAAUUUUCGUGUUA
RNA transcript from Fragaria vesca subsp. vesca, 933 nucleotides. It is a transcript of the gene named 40S ribosomal protein S15-like, with no coding region annotated. The transcript has a single exon. The record is from RefSeq and is a predicted model, not a curated record. Lineage: Eukaryota; Viridiplantae; Streptophyta; Magnoliopsida; Rosales; Rosaceae.